Mus caroli (Ryukyu mouse) is the source of this 637-nucleotide non-coding RNA. Lineage: Eukaryota; Metazoa; Chordata; Mammalia; Rodentia; Muridae. The record is from RefSeq and is a predicted model, not a curated record.
AAAAAAGGAAGAAAGUAGCUGAGAACCAGCAGCUGAAGAAAGCAAGAAAAUCUGAAUGAAGUCACAAAUGUCACCAAGGAAAGGCAGAACAGAAAAAUAACUUGAAUAUUCAAGAUGGACACAUCAAGCCUUGUGAAGAGGUGACUCCGAGCCUGUGGCAGGAAGACGAUGUAACAACCAUUACCAGUUCUCUGUGGCACUGCAGGCCACAUGAUGGUGAUGUUGAAGGCAGUGCUUCCUCGGUGUCAGAGUCAGCGUGGUGGCGUCUGUGCACAACCCUGGCAAGCUGGUCUUCUGCACCUUUAAUUUUGAGGAAGCUCACUGUCCGUCUGUCUAUAAUGCCAGGCCUGUUCUCCGUCCAGCUCAGCAGCAUGGCAGCCAUUCUUACACAAAGACAUCUACACGGAGGCACAUGCCUGUAGCCUCACCACACAGGCAGGUGGUGGUGAAUUCUACACUAACCUUGGCUACACAGUGACACACUGCCCCAAAACAGAAACAAAGAGCAAAAAGUUUCUCAGUGAACCUCAGAAAAGGUUCCUAAGGUAACAAAAGAAUCAAAAUAUGCCCUAGCUCACCCCAAAUGCCAAGAGCCUUGCUAUGUUUAGGAAGUACCUCCAUAAAAUGCUGUUUUCCC